AACGAACGCUGGCGGCAUGCCUAACACAUGCAAGUCGAACGAGACCUUCGGGGCUAGUGGCGCACGGGUGCGUAACGCGUGGGAACCUGCCCUUAGGUUCGGAAUAACUCCCCGAAAGGGGUGCUAAUACCGGAUAAUGUCUUCGGACCAAAGAUUUAUCGCCUUUGGAUGGGCCCGCGUUGGAUUAGCUAGUUGGUAGGGUAAAAGCCUACCAAGGCGACGAUCCAUAGCUGGUCUGAGAGGAUGAUCAGCCACACUGGGACUGAGACACGGCCCAGACUCCUACGGGAGGCAGCAGUGGGGAAUAUUGGACAAUGGGCGAAAGCCUGAGCCAGCAAUGCCGCGUGAGUGAUGAAGGCCUUAGGGUUGUAAAGCUCUUUUACCCGGGAUGAUAAUGACAGUACCGUGAGAAUAAGCUCCGGCUAACUCCGUG
RNAcentral lists this ribosomal RNA (433 nucleotides) under uncultured bacterium. Its description in RNAcentral is "partial 16S ribosomal RNA". It matches the Rfam family "Bacterial small subunit ribosomal RNA", at positions 29 to 507 of the family's 1533-position model. The record is from RNAcentral.